UAGGUUCUUAUUUCAGUUCUGGAUGUGCU
This 29-nucleotide non-coding RNA is filed under the name Mus musculus (house mouse). Lineage: Eukaryota; Metazoa; Chordata; Mammalia; Rodentia; Muridae. The record is from RNAcentral.